UUUUACAUAUAUUAUUUCUAAUCAUCAUAAAAGCUUUGCAACCAGACUUAGCAGCUUUAUUGCAAAAGUGAAGAACCUGAAAGCCAGAGCAUUUAUGAAACUUUUCCAAUUAUUCCAGGCAGUGAGAAAUUGUAGUAGACAUGUUUUAUGGCACCUGCUUGCCAUGCUUCUAAGAGGCGUUAUUCCUCCUUGUUGAGGAGUAACAGCCCUGGUUUGUACCAUAUGACCCCAUCCCCAUCUUCUAGUCAAGUGAUCUAAGGAUCCACAAUCCUUAGCUUGGUAAGUGCCCUCUUGCUAACCUAAAAACGAAAAAGUCAACAGCUUGCUUUAUAGGGAAUUCCAGAAGCAUUUCCAUAAACUUAUUAAGCCAAUGAUCACCCUUAUUCCUACUAUCAUUUAGUAUUGUUAUAGUAGCACUAGACAAAGGAGUCUUACAAGAAAAAGAAAUUAGAAAUAAAAAAAACUAGAAAGGAGGCAUAUUAACUAUACCUUCUAAGUAAUAUGAUUGUAUAUUUGGAAAAACCAAGUGAUUCAACUAAAAAAUUUACAAAAAUAAAAGAAUUCAUAAUGACAGAUUCUGAGAAAGAAGAACAUUGCGGUGGGACUAGACCAAUUUUUGUAAAAUGUAUUAAGCUACAAUAACUUAAAGACUGUGGUGCUGGUAUAGAUAGUUAAAUGGAAAAAAAUGGGACAUCCAAAAAUAAAUGUGGAAGGAGUAUAAGAUAUAUAUACAUAUCUUAUAUAUAUAUAUUUCACAUAAGAUAAUGUUGGCAUUGCAUAUCACAAUAAACACUGGAGCAUUCAAUAAAUCUUACCAUUAGGCAAAGAAAUGGAGUUGAAUUUAUAUCUUAAGCCUUAUCCAAAAAUAAAUCCUUGGGGGCAACAAUGAUUUAAAUGUGAAAAAUAAAAUCAAAAAAGUAUUGGAAGAAUAUCUAAGGUUAUUUAAGAUAAUUUCUACAUUAGAAAGUCUUUUCAAGUAUAAUAUAAAGCACAGAAGCCAUAAGAUAACUAACUUUAAAUACUAAAAAACAAAGUUUAUGCAUAACAAGAAAAUCCAUUGUAAGCAAAGUCAAAUGACAAAUGAAAAUCUGGAGAAGAUAUUUCACAUGUAUCACAAACCAAGACUAUUUUCCCUAUUGAAUAGAGAGCAUCUACAAAUAAACAAGAAAGCAAUGACCAGCGAUGGGUAAAGGAUAAGGACAGAUCACAGAAAAGUAAGCACAAGUGCUUUUAAAAUUUAAGAAAAAGAUAUCAGACUUCCCUCCUGAUGAAAAUUAAAUGGAAAACAUGAUAUAUCAUAUUAUUGAAGAUAAAGAAGCUUGAUCAAAACUGGCUAUAAAGGGUUUGAGAAAGCAGUUGGUUUUAUACUUUUUGGUGGAAUGAUAAAUUGUUAGAUACAACUUCUGUGAAGGCCAAUCUAUAAAAAAAACUUAAAUGCAUGUAUCCUUUGACUAAGCAAUUCCACUUAAGGAAUUUUCCUACAUUUGUGUUUUUCAUUUGAGCAAAAUGACUGACAUAAGUAUAGUUAUUGCAUCAAUACUUAUAAUAGCAGAGGACUGGAAACAACUUAAUUGUCAUCAAUAGGAGACUGAAUCAGUAUAUUAUGGUACUCCAUGGAAUAUACUGUGCAACUUGUUAAAAGAAUGAAGAAGUUCUGCAGUGGUAAUGGAACAAAAUCCAAGAUGCAUUAUUAAAUAAAGCAAAAUGAGAACAGUAUGUCUAACAUGCUCUCCUUUGUAUAAAACAAACACACACACACACACACACAGACACACACACACAAAUGCAUAGCUUAUCUUUGUUGUAAGGUUGUUUCCAGGGGGGGGUUUUGCUGUGUGAGAAACAGGAAAAAGAGACUUUCUUUUCAGUGCAAAUCCUUUUAUGUUUUAUCAUUUUCAGGCUUUGCCUGUUCCAUAAAAAUAAAAUUAACCAUAUAAAUGUCAGGAAUGAUCUUUUCUUUUCUUUUUUUCUUUCUUUCUUUUUUUUUUUUUUUUUUUGAGACAGAGCUGUCUCCUCCAGACUGGAGUGCAACUCCGUCUCAAAAAAACAAAACCAACCAACCAAACAAACAAAAAACUGUUGGUUGCAUUUCAAAAAUCUAACUGAAAAGACUUUGUGCACAAGCAACUGCAUGGAAUUUCAUUUAUCCAUCUUGGAUAAAAAGCCUAGUUGGUCCUGCUAUGAUUUGACUCUGUGUUUCUUCAGGCUCUAAGUAUUCCAAAAUGAUGCAUUAGCUCCCUGGACUCUCUGUGCAUCAGAGACCUAGGAUGUGCUAUUUAAAUCAUCUGGCAAAUUGAUGUGUGGGGGAAUGGAACUCUUUCCCCCAUUUUUUAAAAAAAAUUAAAUUUUGUAAUGGUGGCACAUUGUAUAAUAAGCACAUAUGAAGAUUGGAGCUAUCAUUUUGGAAAUGACCUUAAAUAGAAGGAGGAAAUGAUAGACUCAUAGUACCAUCCAACAGUGUGGGUUCAGCCUAUUUUCCAUUCCUACCACAGAGCUGCUGGGUGACUCUGAGUAAGCAGUUUCAUCCAAUUUUACUGUAAGCCUUUGCAUUCCUAAUAGAGGCACAAUAGUAUUGGUACCUGUCUUAUUCAGAGAGUGGCAGAUUAAGAAGACUUUGGGUGAUUUCUAACUUCUAGCAGCCGUACACACGAAAAAGUCUGUACAAUAUAGUGUGUUUUUGUACUCAGAUAUUUCAUGUGAUGGCUCUAUUUUUUGAAGCCAUAGAAUAAUUCUUCCUUAAGUAAAACAGCAAACUAGCUCCUUGAUGUCACUGAGUUUGUGAAUUAUUUUCGUUCAUUUUGAUUAGUACAUAGGCCUCACAAGCUAUUAAGGAGAAAAAAGAAGACAGGUUUUCUUAUUCUUAUUUUAAUGAUGAGAUAUAUACAGUUGAAAGGAAUUAUGUAAGGCCGGGUGUGGUGGCUCACACCUGUAAUCUCAGCACUUUGGGAGGCCAAGGGGGGCGGAUCAUGAGGUCAGGAGUUUGAGACCAGCCUGGCCAACAUGGUGAAACCCCAUCUCUACUAAAAAUACAAAGAUUAGCUGGGCAUGGCGGGCACCUGUAAUUCCAGCUACUUGGGAGGCUGAGGCAGGAGAAUCACUUGAACCCGGGAGGUGGAGGUUAUAGUGAGCCGAGAUUGUGC
This 3140-nucleotide long non-coding RNA is filed under the name Homo sapiens (human). RNAcentral describes it as "HSALNT0212474". The record is from RNAcentral. Lineage: Eukaryota; Metazoa; Chordata; Mammalia; Primates; Hominidae.